This is a non-coding RNA of Ictidomys tridecemlineatus (thirteen-lined ground squirrel), 601 nucleotides long. The record is from RefSeq and is a predicted model, not a curated record. NCBI's taxonomy places the organism in Eukaryota, Metazoa, Chordata, Mammalia, Rodentia, Sciuridae.
UCUAACAAUCUACAGGAUGUACGCAGACACUCUCAGGGCCAUUGUGUACACUUGCUUUAGGGGCAGGCCAUUUUAAUUGCUUCUAGCCUUUAUCGCUAAUGCCUGACAAGUGAAAACGCGUGAAAGCAGGAGUGAAGGCUCUGCGUCUUCCCAGAGGCAGACACAGAAAGGAGUGGAGAAUCCCCGUCCCUCCCUUCCACUGACUUCAUGCCAGACUGUAGUUGGCUAUGGUUAGAUGACACCGUGUGAAAACAGACGGUUAUUGGCUCCAGUGUUACAGUGAGGAAUCGGAGGCAUGAAGAUUUUCAAUAACUUGCUUAAAGUUACCCAGUCUUGUAGAUUCCACAGUAUCAAUUCCAGCCCCCCCAUGAUGUGGAUCUCCUGGCUCUAAUGUUCCAGGAGACAUGCUUCAAGAGGCAAACAGUUGAAGUGGGUCCGUCCCAGUCCAUCAAAUAAUAAGUGCCCGUUCCUUACUGUGACACAAAGGAGGAGAGAUGGUGGUGACAGGAGAGUUACAGGAGAGUUUGAAAUAAACAAAGGACAGGAGAGUUUGAAGUAAACAUGUUGUGAUGAAGAAAGGUGCCUAAGCUAGAAAAUGUGU